AGCAGCCGCGGUAAUUCCAGCUCCAAUAGCGUAUAUUAAAGUUGUUGCAGUUAAAAGCUCGUAGUUGAAUUUUGGAUUCUUCCAAUUGGUCCAUCUUUUAGAUGAGUACUGGUUGUGUGGGGUCUAUCCGCCUGGUGAUACGUAAUGUCCUUUAUUGGAUGUUUCGGGUAGUCAGGACCUUUACCUUGAAAAAAUUAGAGUGUUUAAAGCAGGCUUAUGCCGGAAUACAUUAGCAUGGAAUAAUAGAAUAGGACGAAGUUGUUUUCAUUUUGUUGGUUUCUAGGACAACCGUAAUGAUUAAUAGGGAUAGUUGGGGGCAUUAGUAUUCAAUUGUCAGAGGUGAAAUUCUUGGAUUUAUUGAAGACUAACUACUGCGAAAGCAUUUGCCAAGGAUGUUUUCAUUAAUCAAGAACGAAAGUUAGGGGAUCGAAGACGAUCAGAUACCGUCGUAGUCUUAACCAUAAACUAUGCCGACUAGGGAUCGGGCGAUGUUGUUUCCAUGACUCGCUCGGCACCUUAU
This 520-nucleotide ribosomal RNA is filed under the name uncultured Archaeospora. Its description in RNAcentral is "SSU rRNA". It matches the Rfam family "Eukaryotic small subunit ribosomal RNA", at positions 569 to 1091 of the family's 1831-position model. The record is from RNAcentral. Lineage: Eukaryota; Fungi; Glomeromycota; Glomeromycetes; Archaeosporales; Archaeosporaceae.